GACGAACGCUGGCGGCGUGCCUAAUACAUGCAAGUCGAACGCAUUUUCUUUCACCGUAGCUUGCUACACCGAAAGAAAAUGAGUGGCGAACGGGUGAGUAACACGUGGGUAACCUGCCCAUCAGCGGGGGAUAACACUUGGAAACAGGUGCUAAUACCGCAUAAUUCCAUUUACCGCAUGGUAGAUGGGUGAAAGGCGCUUUUGCGUCACUGAUGGAUGGACCCGCGGUGCAUUAGCUAGUUGGUGGGGUAACGGCCUACCAAGGCUGCGAUGCAUAGCCGACCUGAGAGGGUGAUCGGCCACACUGGGACUGAGACACGGCCCAGACUUCUACGGGAGGCAGCAGUAGGGAAUCUUCGGCAAUGGACGCAAGUCUGACCGAGCAACGCCGCGUGAGUGAAGAAGGUUUUCGGAUCGUAAAACUCUGUUGUUAGAGAAGAACAAGGAUGAGAGUGGAAAGUUCAUCCCUUGACGGUAUCUAACCAGAAAGCCACGGCUAACUACGUG
RNAcentral lists this ribosomal RNA (507 nucleotides) under uncultured bacterium. Its description in RNAcentral is "partial 16S ribosomal RNA". It matches the Rfam family "Bacterial small subunit ribosomal RNA", at positions 28 to 507 of the family's 1533-position model. The record is from RNAcentral.